Molecule: long non-coding RNA, 392 nt
Filed under: Brassica napus (rape)
Lineage: Eukaryota; Viridiplantae; Streptophyta; Magnoliopsida; Brassicales; Brassicaceae
Description: long non-coding RNA (BNAP_LNC021177)
Source: RNAcentral
CUUAUCUCCAUAAUGUAACACUACCAUUUUAUAAAAAAAAGAAAAAAAACAUAAAUAUAACUAUUUGACUAUUUGUCCAAGUUCUUCUAUUAAACAUUGCCGUUUUACAUUAAAAUGGAAAAAAAAUUAAGAUUUAAACAUCUAUCUUAAAAUAUAAAAUAUAAAUAUUAACUAAAUAUAAAGUAUAAGAAAGAGAAAUACUCAAUAUAUAGAAAAAUAAAUAAGAUUAACAGGUUGACCGUUUAAGAAACAAUACUGAAUGGUUAAGAGGAAUAAAGAGAAGUGGUGUUUAAGAAACAAUGAAAACAUACUCAUGUGAUUGAAUAUGAAUCAGAAGACGCCUCGCCUUUGCUAUCUCCACUUCGUCAAGAACGGGGGCCUCAAUGAUACUC